UUAUGCGUAGGUUAUUUAAACUUAUAAAUUGUGGUUUUAUAGAUUGCUUGUGUGCGUGUAAA
RNAcentral lists this transfer RNA (62 nucleotides) under Khawia sinensis. RNAcentral describes it as "tRNA-His". Lineage: Eukaryota; Metazoa; Platyhelminthes; Cestoda; Caryophyllidea; Lytocestidae. The record is from RNAcentral.